This 354-nucleotide long non-coding RNA is filed under the name Musa acuminata (dwarf banana). Its description in RNAcentral is "long non-coding RNA (MACU_LNC008246)". Lineage: Eukaryota; Viridiplantae; Streptophyta; Magnoliopsida; Zingiberales; Musaceae. The record is from RNAcentral.
GGGGCUAUGUCGUGUGUAUCGCAUUGCCACGAACUGUUCCACCACGAUCCGCUGCACCAUGUCGCCUCCUGGUGACAUCUCCAUUGCAUUCUGAUCCUUGUGGAAUAAACUCGAAUUGUGAACCCUCCAUGUGUGGCCUCUGCCAAUACAUCGCAAGGUCUCCUUCACCUUCGAUUUUGUUCGCUCCUUUGGCAAUCGACUUUCAUCCACCCACUCUUGGGUCACACCUAGAUGAAGCACCGCUCUAGGACAGUCCGUCGCCUAGUAGCUCCCGAAGUCCACCGACUUCACUGUAGUUUGUGCACCAUUGUCUGGAUCCUAGGCCUCUGCCCCUACCAGCACAAUCUCCGCUGC